ACGAGAGGACCGGGAUGGACGUACCUCUGGUGUACCAGUUGUCCUGCCAAGGGCAUGGCUGGGUAGCUAUGUACGGAAUGGAUAAGCGCUGAAAGCAUCUAAGCGCGAAGCCAACUUCAAGAUAAGAUUUCCCACCGCAAGGAUAAGACCCCAGAAAGACUAACUGGUUGAUAGGUCGAAGGUGUAAGUGCAGCAAUGUAUUUAGCUUAUCGAUACUAAUAGGUCGAGGACUUGACCAAU
Molecule: ribosomal RNA, 240 nt
Filed under: Clostridioides difficile
Lineage: Bacteria; Bacillati; Bacillota; Clostridia; Peptostreptococcales; Peptostreptococcaceae
Description: partial 23S ribosomal RNA
Rfam family: Bacterial large subunit ribosomal RNA
Source: RNAcentral